UGCACAGGUGAUACCAAAGGACUACAAGACCAUGACCGCCUUGGCCAAGGCCAUCUCUAAGAAUGUGCUGUUUGCUCAUCUGGACGACAAUGAGAGAAGUGACAUAUUUGAUGCCAUGUUCCCAGUCACUCACAUUGCAGGGGAAACAGUUAUCCAGCAAGGCGAUGAAGGAGACAACUUCUAUGUGAUUGACCAAGGUGAAGUGGAUGUAAGUGGCUGACAUGGACGCACAAGCACACACA
Molecule: long non-coding RNA, 242 nt
Organism: Micropterus salmoides (largemouth bass)
Lineage: Eukaryota; Metazoa; Chordata; Actinopteri; Centrarchiformes; Centrarchidae
Exons: 3
Source: RefSeq, a predicted model, not a curated record